UUACUUAAUUCUUUUUUCUUGUAGAAGCAAAGACAUGGUCUAACCGUUUUUUUUGCAGGCUGGAGUCCAAAUUGUAGAUCCUGUGGUCGAUGUGUUCAAUGGACAAGAGAUGCCUUUGAAAGCGACAGAGAGGGAUGUUUAUGAAUUCUUCUCGAAAGCAGGGAAGGUUUAGCUUCUUGUAUUGACAUUACACAUCCAUCUGAGAAGAGUGUUCUGAUAUUUACAUGUAUCAUGCAACCACAGUAAAUGCUUCUGUGCCUUCAAUGAGGCCUAUUAUAAUGACUUUUUUGUGGCUCAACAUUCUUUUAUUUGGUUAGAGACGUGCGGCUGAUCAUGGAUCGGAACUCGAGACGAUCGAUCAAAAGGAGUUGGGAUAUGAAAUAUGAGCAGAAGCAACAACAACAUCAACAACAAAUGGUGUCUGACUUAGAGUCACAAGUGAAAGCUAUGCAUGAACUUUUUUUAGGUAGCCAUCUUCAUUGACUCCUCAAACUCGAGAACAUGUGCAGGACCAGGCUAUCCAUGCAAGAUUAGGAGAGAGGGUAGCUCGAGUCUUCUUUUGACGAUGAUUAGAGAUGAAACGAUGUGUCUUUCCUAGACUUCUAUUUUAAUUUGUUUUAGAUAGUUUCACGUAUUUUCCUUUAGAACAAUUGGGAUAUUAACACUUGUUAUUAGUGUUGAAUAUUUGAGGAUGGUGGGAUUUUAUUUAUUGAUGUUAUUAAUGAAUGGAGUUUUUGAUUUC
Long non-coding RNA from Asparagus officinalis (garden asparagus), 742 nucleotides. RefSeq lists it as uncharacterized. Lineage: Eukaryota; Viridiplantae; Streptophyta; Magnoliopsida; Asparagales; Asparagaceae. The transcript has 7 exons. The record is from RefSeq and is a predicted model, not a curated record.